Molecule: transfer RNA, 88 nt
Filed under: Gammaproteobacteria bacterium
Lineage: Bacteria; Pseudomonadati; Pseudomonadota; Gammaproteobacteria
Also listed under: 1 other name
Description: tRNA-Ser
Rfam family: tRNA
About the family: Transfer RNA (tRNA) molecules are approximately 80 nucleotides in length. Their secondary structure includes four short double-helical elements and three loops (D, anti-codon, and T loops).
Source: RNAcentral
GGAGAGGUGGCUGAGCGGCCGAAAGCGGCGGUCUUGAAAACCGUUGAGGGGAGACCCUCCCUGGGUUCGAAUCCCAGCCUCUCCGCCA